UAGCUCAGUGGUAGAGCACUUGUCUAGCAUGCAUGAGGAGGCCCUGGGUUCAAUUCCCAA
Molecule: transfer RNA, 60 nt
Filed under: Fukomys damarensis (Damara mole-rat)
Lineage: Eukaryota; Metazoa; Chordata; Mammalia; Rodentia; Bathyergidae
Source: Rfam by way of RNAcentral